CCUACGGGUGGCAGCAGUGGGGAAUAUUGCGCAAUGGGCGAAAGCCUGACCCAGCAACGCCGCGUGAAGGAAGAAGGCUCUCGGGUUGUAAACUUCUUUUGUCAGGGACGAAGCAAGUGACGGUACCUGACGAAUAAGCCUCGGCUAACUACGUGCCAGCAGCCGCGGUAAUACGUAGGUGGCAAGCGUUAGCCGGAUUUAUUGGGUGUAAAGGGAGUGUAGGCGGGAAGGCAAGUCAGAUGUGAAAACUAUGGGCUCAACCCAUAGCCUGCAUUUGAAACUGUAUGUCUUGAGUGCUGGAGAGGCAAUCGGAAUUCCGUGUGUAGCGGUGAAAUGCGUAGAUAUACGGAGGAACACCAGUGGCGAAGGCGGAUUACUGGACGAUAACUGACGGUGAGGCGCGAAAGCGUGGGGAGCAAACAGGAUUAGAUACCCGUGUAGUC
This 443-nucleotide ribosomal RNA is filed under the name uncultured bacterium. RNAcentral describes it as "partial 16S ribosomal RNA". It matches the Rfam family "Bacterial small subunit ribosomal RNA", at positions 338 to 795 of the family's 1533-position model. The record is from RNAcentral.